This 77-nucleotide non-coding RNA is filed under the name Streptomyces tsukubensis. The record is from RNAcentral. Lineage: Bacteria; Bacillati; Actinomycetota; Actinomycetes; Kitasatosporales; Streptomycetaceae.
GGGGAAGCCGGUAGGAAUCCGGCACUGUCCCGCAACGGUGUGCGUGGCCCGCUCAGGCCGCGCGAGUCCGAUCACCC